UUCUUGCAGUUUCGUGAAUUUCUUUUGUCCUAUAAUCGCCUAUCGGAAAUGUGUUUCGUAGACUGUGUAAUGGACUUCACAUCACGCAAAGUUUCUGAUAAUGAGGAUUCCUGCACAAACAGAUGUAUGGAGAAGUACCUGAAAAUGACACAGAGAAUAUCGCAAAGAUUUCAAGAAUACCAAGUCCAACAGAAUGAAAACGCCAUUGCAUCACAGACAGGGGUAAUGGGACGAUAGCGCUGAGAUAAUUAUAAAUGAACUGGUGGAUUGUAAUUGCGAUAUUUGAUACCAACCUCCAGCCACACUCUCCCUGCCCCUAUGUGCCCAUCCCUGUACAAAACUGCCUUCAUUUGUGUAAUACCUUGCUGUUAAAUUGGUUUCAUUUCCAGAUUUUAAACCAAUACUAGUUAUCAUGUUCGGCUUGAUGAUAUUUUAUUUCCGAGGGCAUCUGGCUUGGACUUAUGUAUUAGUUGUAGAUUUCUAAAUUGUAUUGUUUUUGGAUAAAUAAUAAGUGGAGUGGUA
This is a long non-coding RNA of Saccoglossus kowalevskii, 522 nucleotides long. The record is from RefSeq and is a predicted model, not a curated record. NCBI's taxonomy places the organism in Eukaryota, Metazoa, Hemichordata, Enteropneusta, Harrimaniidae.